CUAUGCGCCUUGCCAGCCCCGCCUCAGAAACUCAAAGGAAUUAGACGGGGGCCCGCACAAGCGGAGGAACAUGUGGUUUAAUUCGAUGAUACGCGAGGAACCUUACCUGGGCUUAAAUGGGGAGUGACAGCUGUCGAAAGAUGGUUUUCUUCGGACACUCUUCAAGGUGCUGCAUGGUUGUCGUCAGCUCGUGCCGUGAGGUGUCGGGUUAAGUCCCAUAACGAGCGCAACCCUUACCGUUAGUUACCAUCAGGUUAAGCUGGGGACUCUAGCGGGACUGCCACCGUAAGGUGAGAGGAAGGUGGGGAUGACGUCAAAUCAGCACGGCCCUUAUGUCCAGGGCUACACACGUGUUACAAUGGCCGGUACAAAGGGCAGCUACUUCGCGAGAAGAUGCUAAUCUCGAAAGCCGGUCUCAGUUCGGAUCGAAGUCUGCAACCCGACUUCGUGAAGCUGGAUUCGCUAGUAAUCGCGCAUCAGCCAUGGCGCGGUGAAUACGUUCCCGGGCCUU
This 511-nucleotide ribosomal RNA is filed under the name uncultured Sphingobacteriales bacterium. RNAcentral's name for it is "bacterial SSU rRNA". It matches the Rfam family "Bacterial small subunit ribosomal RNA", at positions 903 to 1382 of the family's 1533-position model. Lineage: Bacteria; Pseudomonadati; Bacteroidota; Sphingobacteriia; Sphingobacteriales. The record is from RNAcentral.